RNAcentral lists this unclassified non-coding RNA (423 nucleotides) under uncultured Tricholomataceae. RNAcentral's name for it is "sequence contains ITS2". The stretch from base 1 to 154 matches the Rfam family "5.8S ribosomal RNA". The record is from RNAcentral. Lineage: Eukaryota; Fungi; Basidiomycota; Agaricomycetes; Agaricales; Tricholomataceae.
AACUUUCGACAAUGGAUCUCUUGGCUCUCGCGUCGAUGAAGAACGCAGCGAAAUGCGAUAAGUAAUGUGAAUUGCAGAAUUCAGUGAAUCAUCGAAUCUUUGAACGCACCUUGCGCUCCUUGGUAUUCCGAGGAGCAUGCCUGUUUGAGUGUCAUUAAAUUCUCAACCUUCCAGCUUUUAUUAGCUUGGUUAGGCUUGGAUGUGGGGGUUGCAGGCUUCACUUAUGAGGUCGGCUCUCCUUAAAUGCAUUAGCGGAACUUUUGUGGACCGUCUAUUGGUGUGAUAAUUAUCUACGCCGUGGAUGUGAAGCAGCUUUAUAAAGUUCAGCUUCUAACAGUCCAUUGACUUGGACAAUUUUGACAAUUUGACCUCAAAUCAGGUAGGACUACCCGCUGAACUUAAGCAUAUCAAUAAGCGGAGGCU